CCUACGGGGUGCUGCAGUGGGGAAUAUUGGGCAAUGGGCGCAAGCCUGACCCAGCAACGCCGCGUGAAGGAAGAAGGCUUUCGGGUUGUAAACUUCUUUUGUCAGGGACGAAGCAAGUGACGGUACCUGACGAAUAAGCCACGGCUAACUACGUGCCAGCAGCCGCGGUAAUACGUAGGUGGCAAGCGUUAUCCGGAUUUACUGGGUGUAAAGGGCAUGUAGGCGGGGAAGCAAGUCAGAUGUGAAAACCACGGGCUCAACCUGUGGCCUGCAUUUGAAACUGUUUUUCUUGAGUGCUGGAGAGGCAAUCGGAAUUCCGGGUGUAGCGGUGAAAUGCGUAGAUAUACGGAGGAACACCAGUGGCGAAGGCGACUAUCUGGCACAUAACUGACGCUGAGGAGCGAAAGCGUGGGUAGCAAACAGGAUUAGAUACCCCUGUAGUC
Molecule: ribosomal RNA, 443 nt
Filed under: uncultured bacterium
Lineage: Bacteria
Description: partial 16S ribosomal RNA
Rfam family: Bacterial small subunit ribosomal RNA
Source: RNAcentral